AAAACAUUGCCGGGUGAGUAAAGAAUAUCGGGUAGUUCCUGCUCAGUGCAAGUAAGUAAAUAGCCGGUGUUCCCGCUAAGGUAGCAUAAUAGUUUACCAUUUAAAUGAUGGAGGGUAUGAAAGGAUAAACCGAUUAUUUGUGUGUCAAGUUUUUGAAGUGAAAUUGGAAUUCAGGUGAAAAUUGCCUGAGUGGCUCGUUAAGACAAAAAGACCCCGUGAAGCUUUACUGCUAGUGGUUUGAUUGGGGCAAUCUUAAUAAGACAUAGUUAAAAUAUAAGAGACCUUUAUCUAAAGAGACAGACUAAGUUACUCCGGGGGUAACAGGCUAAUUAAACCUGAGAGUUCGAAUUGAUGGUUUAGAUUGGUACCUCGAUGUUGGCUUAAUCUGACUAGGAGGUUGAAGGUGCUUUCAGAAGUAGGUGUGUUCACCCUUUAAAAGAUUACGUGA
RNAcentral lists this ribosomal RNA (448 nucleotides) under Speleonerilla sp. C MJH-2022. RNAcentral's name for it is "partial large subunit ribosomal RNA". It matches the Rfam family "Bacterial large subunit ribosomal RNA", at positions 1810 to 2603 of the family's 2925-position model. Lineage: Eukaryota; Metazoa; Annelida; Polychaeta; Nerillidae. The record is from RNAcentral.